This 812-nucleotide ribosomal RNA is filed under the name uncultured bacterium. RNAcentral describes it as "bacterial SSU rRNA". It matches the Rfam family "Bacterial small subunit ribosomal RNA", at positions 8 to 796 of the family's 1533-position model. The record is from RNAcentral.
AGAGUUUGAUCAUGGCUCAGAACGAACGCUGGCGGCGUGCCUAACACAUGCAAGUCGCGCGAGAAAGCGGGGGCAACUCCGUGAGUAAAGCGGCGCACGGGUGAGUAAUACGUAGGUAACCUGCCUUCGAGACCGGGAUAACCUUCCGAAAGGAGGGCUAAUACUGGAUGAGACCACGGAGCCUCGGCUCUGCGGUCAAAGGUGGCCUCUGCUUGCAAGCUACCACUCGGAGAUGGGCCUGCGCACCAUUAGCUAGUUGGCGAGGUAACGGCUCACCAAGGCGAAGAUGGUUAGCUGAUCUGAGAGGACGAUCAGCCACACUGGGACUGAGACACGGCCCAGACUCCUACGGGAGGCAGCAGUGGGGAAUCUUGGACAAUGGGGGAAACCCUGAUCCAGCGACGCCGCGUGGGUGAUGAAGGCCUUCGGGUCGUAAAGCCCUGUCGGGAGGGAAGAAACUCCUGCCGGUAAACAAUCGGCGGGAUUGACGGUACCUCCUAAGGAAGCACCGGCUAACUCUGUGCCAGCAGCCGCGGUAAGACAGAGGGUGCUAGCGUUGUUCGGAAUUACUGGGCGUAAAGGGCGCGUAGGCGGUCUGCUAAGUUCGGUGUGAAAUCCCCCGGCUCACCCGGGGAACUGCGCCGGAAACUGGCAGACUGGAGUACCGGAGAGGAGGGUGGAAUUCCUGGCGUAGCGGUGAAAUGCGUAGAUAUCAGGAGGAACACCGGUGGCGAAGGCGGCCCUCUGGACGGAUACUGACGCUGAGGCGCGAAAGCGUGGGGAUCAAACAGGAUUAGAUACCCUAGUAGUCC